UAGGCUACGAGGCAGGAACGGUUGGUCUGG
RNAcentral lists this small RNA (30 nucleotides) under Arabidopsis thaliana (thale cress). Its description in RNAcentral is "ATSL011860". The record is from RNAcentral. Lineage: Eukaryota; Viridiplantae; Streptophyta; Magnoliopsida; Brassicales; Brassicaceae.